GACGAACGCUGGCGGCGUGCCUAACACAUGCAAGUCGAACGGGGUGAUUCCUUCGGGGAUCACUUAGUGGCGGACGGGUGAGUAACGCGUAGGCAACCUGCCCUUUGCAGAGGGAUAGCCAUUGGAAACGAUGAUUAAAACCUCAUAAUGCCAGACUGAGACAUCUCUAACUGGCCAAAGAUUUAUCGGGCAAAGGAUGGGCCUGCGUCUGAUUAGCUAGAUGGCGGGGUAACGGCCCACCAUGGCGACGAUCAGUAGCCGGUCUGAGAGGAUGAACGGCCACAUUGGGACUGAGAUACGGCCCAGACUCCUACGGGAGGCAGCAGUGGGGAAUAUUGGGCAAUGGGGGAAACCCUGACCCAGCAACGCCGCGUGAAGGAAGAAGGCCUUCGGGUUGUAAACUUCUUUUAGUAGGGACGAAUACGUGACGGUACCUACAGAAAAAGCAACGGCUAACUACGUG
RNAcentral lists this ribosomal RNA (463 nucleotides) under uncultured bacterium. Its description in RNAcentral is "bacterial SSU rRNA". It matches the Rfam family "Bacterial small subunit ribosomal RNA", at positions 28 to 507 of the family's 1533-position model. The record is from RNAcentral.